GCCUACGUAGUUUAACUGCCGGUCAAAAUACUCCCAUUUGGAAGGGAGAGAAGUGGGUCCAAUCCCCACCGUAGGCU
RNAcentral lists this transfer RNA (77 nucleotides) under Verrucomicrobiota bacterium. RNAcentral describes it as "tRNA-Gln". It matches the Rfam family "tRNA". Rfam says of the family: Transfer RNA (tRNA) molecules are approximately 80 nucleotides in length. Their secondary structure includes four short double-helical elements and three loops (D, anti-codon, and T loops). Lineage: Bacteria; Pseudomonadati; Verrucomicrobiota. The record is from RNAcentral.